GUGAGGAAUAUUGGACAAUGGGCGCAAGCCUGAUCCAGCCAUGCCGCGUGCAGGAAGACGCAUCUAUGGUGUGUAAACUGCUUUUGUACGGGAAGAAACACUCCCUCGUGAGGGAGCUUGACGGUACCGUAAGAAUAAGGAUCGGCUAACUCCGUGCCAGCAGCCGCGGUAAUACGGAGGAUCCAAACGUUAUCCGGAAUCAUUGGGUUUAAAGGGUCCGUAGGCGGUUUAAUAAGUCAGUGGUGAAAGCCCAUCGCUCAACGAUGGAACGGCCAUUGAUACUGUUAGACUUGAAUUACAAGGAAGUAACUAGAAUAUGUAGUGUAGCGGUGAAAUGCUUAGAUAUUACAUGGAAUACCAAUUGCGAAGGCAGGUUACUACUUGUGGAUUGACGCUGAUGGACGAAAGCGUGGGGAGCGAACAGGAUUAGAAACCCUUGUAGUCC
Molecule: ribosomal RNA, 445 nt
Filed under: uncultured bacterium
Lineage: Bacteria
Description: partial 16S ribosomal RNA
Rfam family: Bacterial small subunit ribosomal RNA
Source: RNAcentral